Molecule: ribosomal RNA, 1317 nt
Filed under: uncultured soil eukaryote
Lineage: Eukaryota
Description: SSU rRNA
Rfam family: Eukaryotic small subunit ribosomal RNA
Source: RNAcentral
UGCCAGUAUUCAUAUGCUUGUCUCAAAGAUUAAGCCAUGCAUGUCUAAGUGUAAGUAAUUUACAUCUAAACCGCGGAAGGCUCAUUAAAUCAGUAGAAACCUGACCGCUUUAGACGCAAGUCAUUGGAUAACUGCGGAAAAUCUGGAGCUAAUACAUACAAUACAACCUACCUUUAACAAGUGGGGCAGUAUCCAAUGUUUUCGCUGAGAGUGGCAACACUUACAGAUGAUCCAAGGGUACCUGUGAAGCACACAGCCUUGAGCUUGGUGCGCUUGCGGUCGAUCUUCUGACCUAUCAACCUGAUGGUAGUGUAGUGGACUACCAUAGUCGCAACAGGUAACGGGGAAUUAGGGUUUGGUUCCGGAGAGGACGCCUGAGAGAUGGCGUCUACUUCUAAGGAAGGCAGCAGGCGCGCAAAUUACCCAAUUCUAGCUAAGAGAGGUAGUGACAAGGAAUAACAAUGUGAAGCCUUUACGGGCUUCACAAUUGGAAUGAGAACGGAGUAAACUCCCUAACGAGUAUCAAUUGGAGGACAAGUCUGGUGCCAGCACCCGCGGUAAUUCCAGCUCCAAUAGCAUAUACUAAAGUUGCUGCAGUUAAAACGCCCGUAGCCGGAGUUCAGUUGGUUUCUUUAGUUGGUCUGCCCCUUCAGGGGUGUGUACUGCUAAGGACCUUCUAGAAUCGACCAAUAGCACUGCUCUGGCCUUAACUGGUUGGGGUAGGACUUUGGUCCUUUUACUGUGAAUAAAACAGAGUGUUCAAAGCAAGCGAUUUUGCUGUGUAUGAUUUAGCAUGGGAUAAUGAAAUAAGAGUGGCGAUGAGGUCUCAAGCGCCUUGUCGCUACUAAUGAUCAAUAGGGACUGACGGGGCUAUCCCUAUUUCGUGGGAAGAGGUGAAAUUCUAUGAUCCAUGAAAGAGGACCAAAAGCAAAAGCAGUUAGCCAGUAUGUUUCCAUUGGUCAAGGACGAAAGUUUGGGGAUCGAAGACGAUCAGAUACCGUCGUAGUCCAAACUAUAAACGUUGUCGACUGAAGCUCUUAUGACGUGCAUACUGACUCCUAGGGGACUCUGUGAGAAAUCAAAAGCUCAUGGACUCUGGGGGGAGUAUGGUCGCAAGGCUGAAACUUAAAAGAAUUGACGGAAGAUCACCACCAGGAGUGGAACCUGCGGCUUAAUUUGACUCAACACGGGAAAACUCACUCGGACAGGACAUAGUAAGGAUUGACAGAUUGAAAGCUCUUUCUUAAUUUCUAUGGGUGGUGGUGCAUGGUCGUUCUUAGUUGGUGGAGUGAUUUGUCUGGUUAAUUCCGAUAACGA